UUGGAGGGCAAGUCUGGUGCCAGCAGCCGCGGUAAUUCCAGCUCCAAUAGCGUAUAUUAAAGUUGUUGUGGUUAAAAAGCUCGUAGUUGAACCUUGGGCCUGGCUGGCCGGUCCGCCUCACCGCGUGCACUGGUCCGGCCGGGCCUUUCCCUCUGUGGAACCCCAUGCCCUUCACUGGGCGUGGCGGGGAAACAGGACUUUUACUUUGAAAAAAUUAGAGUGCUCCAGGCAGGCCUAUGCUCGAAUACAUUAGCAUGGAAUAAUAAAAUAGGACGUGCGGUUCUAUUUAGUUGGUUUCUAGGACCGCCGUAAUGAUUAAUAGGGACAGUCGGGGGCAUCAGUAUUCAAUUGUCAGAGGUGAAAUUCUUGGAUUUAUUGAAGACUAACUACUGCGAAAGCAUUUGCCAAGGAUGUUUUCAUUAAUCAGGAACGAAAGUUAGGGGAUCGAAGACGAUCAGAUACCGUCGUAGUCUUAACCGUAUAUGAUUUGGUAGGGUUCAUGUUUGUGUGCGGAAUGAAUA
Molecule: ribosomal RNA, 521 nt
Filed under: uncultured Ascomycota
Lineage: Eukaryota; Fungi; Ascomycota
Description: SSU rRNA
Rfam family: Eukaryotic small subunit ribosomal RNA
Source: RNAcentral